Molecule: ribosomal RNA, 99 nt
Filed under: Chrysemys picta bellii (western painted turtle)
Lineage: Eukaryota; Metazoa; Chordata; Testudines; Emydidae
Source: RNAcentral
GUAUAGCCUGGACUGUAAUCUCAUCAGAUCUUACAAGUUGAACAGGACCAAGCUUGGUCAGUACUUGAAUGGAGACCUCCAAGGAAAAAACAAAAUACU